AUGGUCUGGGAAAGGCUCCUAUGUGGAGGCUUUGAAUCUGCCUAAGGUGGGUGCAACCUCAUAAAUGAUAGUUCAACCUUAACCCAAAGUAAAUUCCCAUGGGAACAUUCCCUGGGUUUAGAAUCUGCAUUUACAAGUGUGAAUUGGAUGGUUAUAUGUAUGUUGAUGCUGCAAACAGGA
Molecule: non-coding RNA, 180 nt
Organism: Peromyscus maniculatus bairdii (prairie deer mouse)
Lineage: Eukaryota; Metazoa; Chordata; Mammalia; Rodentia; Cricetidae
Source: Ensembl